AACGAACGCUGGCGGCAUGCCUAACACAUGCAAGUCGAACGAGACCUUCGGGUCUAGUGGCGCACGGGUGCGUAACGCGUGGGAACCUGCCCUUAGGUUCGGAAUAACUCCCCGAAAGGGGUGCUAAUACCGGAUAAUGUCUUCGGACCAAAGAUUUAUCGCCUUUGGAUGGGCCCGCGUUGGAUUAGCUAGUUGGUAGGGUAAAAGCCUACCAAGGCGACGAUCCAUAGCUGGUCUGAGAGGAUGAUCAGCCACACUGGGACUGAGACACGGCCCAGACUCCUACGGGAGGCAGCAGUGGGCAAUAUUGGACAAUGGGCGAAAGCCUGAUCCAGCAAUGCCGCGUGAGUGAUGAAGGCCUUAGGGUUGUAAAGCUCUUUUACCCGGGAUGAUAAUGACAGUACCGGGAGAAUAAGCUCCGGCUAACUCCGUG
This 433-nucleotide ribosomal RNA is filed under the name uncultured bacterium. Its description in RNAcentral is "partial 16S ribosomal RNA". It matches the Rfam family "Bacterial small subunit ribosomal RNA", at positions 29 to 507 of the family's 1533-position model. The record is from RNAcentral.